UAGGUAGUUUCAGUGAGACCUUAGUGUAGCCAGGAGUAAGGGCAGGAAGCAAAGUCUUUUCACCAAGUGACGUGCUCAGAGGACAAUGUCUGAGGCUGCCCACAGCAGGGGCAGUGGCCUGCUGAAAAAGAACUGAAGAGCUUCCAAUAGAUGUUUCUUGCAGAGGACCUGCCAGUGAAAUUGUUUAUUAAGAGAUAAGAUGGUCAUCAACCUAUCAGUCACUAACUGACUUGGAACAGCUAUGACACCAAUGCUCAAGAAGCACUUUCUGUUUUACUUCAACAGGAGCAAACCCCAUUUAAUGGAGGAGCUACAAAGCAUGACACCAAGAAAAAAUUCUUCACCUACCAGACGAUCAGCAGAAAAUACGAAGUCUCCUCUACUGGAUUUCCUGAAAAAGAGACUCUGCUUUGUGGGUUCCCUGCUUGGUGAUGAAGAUUGACAGAUGCAGUGAGUCAAGGCAGAGAUUUGCUCUUUCUACUCUUU
Pogoniulus pusillus (Red-fronted tinkerbird) is the source of this 486-nucleotide long non-coding RNA. RefSeq lists it as uncharacterized. The record is from RefSeq and is a predicted model, not a curated record. Lineage: Eukaryota; Metazoa; Chordata; Aves; Piciformes; Lybiidae. The transcript has 3 exons.